CAGUCGCCGCGGUAAAACGAAGGGUGCAAGCGUUACUCGGAAUUACUGGGCGUAAAGCGUGCGUAGGCGGUUCGUUAAGUCUGUUGUGAAAGCCCCGGGCUCAACCUGGGAAUGGCAAUGGAUACUGGCGAGCUAGAGUGUGUCAGAGGAUGGUGGAAUUCCCGGUGUAGCGGUGAAAUGCGUAGAGAUCGGGAGGAACAUCAGUGGCGAAGGCGGCCAUCUGGGACAACACUGACGCUGAGGCACGAAAGCGUGGGGAGCAAACAGGAUUAGAUACCCGUGUAGUCCCUGUCUCUUAUAA
RNAcentral lists this ribosomal RNA (301 nucleotides) under uncultured bacterium. Its description in RNAcentral is "partial 16S ribosomal RNA". It matches the Rfam family "Bacterial small subunit ribosomal RNA", at positions 509 to 809 of the family's 1533-position model. The record is from RNAcentral.